GAUGAACGCUGGCGGCGUGCCUAAUACAUGCAAGUCGAGCGAACAGACGAGGAGCUUGCUCCUCUGACGUUAGCGGCGGACGGGUGAGUAACACGUGGAUAACCUACCUAUAAGACUGGGAUAACUUCGGGAAACCGGAGCUAAUACCGGAUAAUAUAUUGAACCGCAUGGUUCAAUAGUGAAAGACGGUUUUGCUGUCACUUAUAGAUGGAUCCGCGCGGCAUUAGCUGGUUGGUAAGUUAACGGCUUACCAAGGCAACGGUGGGUAGCCGACCUGAGAGGGUGAUCGGGCCCACUGGAACUGAGACACGGUCCAGACUCCGAGAGGAGGCAGCAGUAGGGAAUCUUCCGCAAUGGGGGAAAGCUUGACGGAGCAACGCAGGGUGAGUGAUGAAGGUCUUCGGAUCGUAAAACUCUGUUAUUGGGGAAGAACAAAUGUGUAAGUAACGAUGCACGUCUUGACGGUACCUAAUCAGAAAGCCACGGCUAACUACGUG
This 497-nucleotide ribosomal RNA is filed under the name uncultured bacterium. RNAcentral's name for it is "partial 16S ribosomal RNA". It matches the Rfam family "Bacterial small subunit ribosomal RNA", at positions 28 to 507 of the family's 1533-position model. The record is from RNAcentral.